UAUAUCCCCUGAAUACACCCACAAUAUAUAUAAUGGGGAAAACCAUUAAGUACCAAACCAAAAUCAGUGUGAUUUAAAUAAUUGGUGGGAUUUUGGUUGGAAUAGCUGUCAUUUUAAUUACAGCCUUUGCUGUUUCUUUGAAAAUCAAACUCCAUAGGGUCCUAAACCUUUCCUAGUGAGCUCUUUGCUCACCAGCCUUAUAAUACUCCUUACAUUGAGCCUUUAGGAGGAAUGGAGCUGGUUUAAGUUCUGAUAACUCAGUAGGAUUUGAGGAUGAGGCUGCUGCACUUUUUUUUUUUGAAAGAUGACCCAGAAAUGCAAAUUUCCCAGUUUUGUUAUCCACUGUAGCUUUCUGAGGAUUGUUCUGU
Molecule: long non-coding RNA, 368 nt
Filed under: Rattus norvegicus (Norway rat)
Lineage: Eukaryota; Metazoa; Chordata; Mammalia; Rodentia; Muridae
Description: long non-coding RNA NONRATT002971
Source: RNAcentral